This 301-nucleotide ribosomal RNA is filed under the name uncultured bacterium. RNAcentral's name for it is "partial 16S ribosomal RNA". It matches the Rfam family "Bacterial small subunit ribosomal RNA", at positions 509 to 807 of the family's 1533-position model. The record is from RNAcentral.
CAGUAGCCGCGGUAAUACGAAGGGGGCUAGCGUUGCUCGGAAUUACUGGGCGUAAAGGGCGCGUAGGCGGCGCUCCAAGUUAGGCGUGAAACUCCCGGGCUCAACCUGGGGACUGCGCUUAAGACUGGAGUGCUUGAGGAUGGAAGAGGGUUGUGGAAUUCCCAGUGUAGAGGUGAAAUUCGUAGACAUUGGGAAGAACACCGGUGGCGAAGGCGGCAACCUGGUCCAUUACUGACGCUGAGGCACGAAAGCGUGGGGAGCAAACAGGAUUAGAUACCCCCGUAGUCCCUGUCUCUUAUAC